CGGCCCAGACUCCUACGGGAGGCAGCAGUGGGGAAUAUUGCACAAUGGAGGAAACUCUGAUGCAGCCAUGCCGCGUGUGUGAAGAAGGCCUUAGGGUUGUAAAGCACUUUCAAUGGGGAGGAAAGGUUGUAAAUUAAUACUUUAUAACUGUGACGUUACCCAUACAAGAAGCACCGGCUAACUCCGUGCCAGCAGCCGCGGUAAUACGGAGGGAGCUAGCGUUGUUCGGAAUUACUGGGCGUAAAGCGCGCGUAGGCGGACAUUUAAGUCAGAGGUGAAAUCCCAGGGCUCAACCCUGGAACUGCCUUUGAUACUGGGUGUCUUGAGUUCGAGAGAGGUGAGUGGAAUUCCGAGUGUAGAGGUGAAAUUCGUAGAUAUUUGGAAGAACACC
RNAcentral lists this ribosomal RNA (391 nucleotides) under Heterosigma akashiwo. Its description in RNAcentral is "partial Bacterial small subunit ribosomal RNA". It matches the Rfam family "Bacterial small subunit ribosomal RNA", at positions 327 to 710 of the family's 1533-position model. Lineage: Eukaryota; Raphidophyceae; Chattonellales; Chattonellaceae. The record is from RNAcentral.